Molecule: ribosomal RNA, 813 nt
Filed under: uncultured Verrucomicrobiae bacterium
Lineage: Bacteria; Pseudomonadati; Verrucomicrobiota; Verrucomicrobiia
Description: bacterial SSU rRNA
Rfam family: Bacterial small subunit ribosomal RNA
Source: RNAcentral
ACCAAAUUAGUAGCAAUACCGGUUUGGUUCAGUGGCGCACGGGUGCGUAACACGUGAGCAAUCUGCCGGGAAGUGGGGGAUAGCUCGCCGAAAGGCGAAUUAAUACCGCAUGUGGCUAUCUUUUGAUUAAUGGAAAAGCCAAAGCAGCAAUGCGCUUCCUGAUGAGCUCGCGGCCUAUCAGCUAGAUGGCGGGGUAAAAGCCCACCAUGGCGAUGACGGGUAGCUGGUCUGAGAGGACGACCAGCCACACUGGAACUGAGAUACGGUCCAGACACCUACGGGUGGCAGCAGUCGAGAAUUUUUCACAAUGGGGGCAACCCUGAUGGAGCGACGCCGCGUGGAGGAUGAAGGCCUUCGGGUUGUAAACUCCUGUCAUGCGGGAACAAGAAAGUGAUAGUACCGCAAGAGGAAGAGACGGCUAACUCUGUGCCAGCAGCCGCGGUAAUACAGAGGUCUCAAGCGUUGUUCGGAUUCAUUGGGCGUAAAGGGUGCGUAGGUGGUGAUGCAAGUCUGGUGUGAAAUCUCGGAGCUUAACUCCGAAAUUGCACCGGAUACUGCGUUGCUCGAGGACUGUAGAGGAGAUCGGAAUUCACGGUGUAGCAGUGAAAUGCGUAGAUAUCGUGAGGAAGACCAGUUGCGAAGGCGGAUCUCUGGGCAGUUCCUGACACUGAGGCACGAAGGCCAGGGGAGCAAACGGGAUUAGAUACCCCGGUAGUCCUGGCAGUAAACGGUGCACGUUUGGUGUGGGCGGGUUCAGACCCCGUCCGUGCCGGAGCUAACGCGUUAAACGUGCCGCCUGGGAAGUACGGUCGC